AAAUUGAAGAGUUUGAUCAUGGCUCAGAUUGAACGCUGGCGGCAGGCCCAACACAUGCAAUGUUGCAACAGAAAUCAGUCACAUGGAUUUGCCGCUGACGAGUGGCGGACGGGUGAGUAAUGUCUGGGAAACUGCCUGAUGGAGGGGAUAACUACGGAAACGGUAGCUAAUACCGCAUAACGCCGGUAAAGAUCAGACCUUCGGCUCUUGCCAUCGGAUGCGCUCCAGAUGGGAUUAGCUAGUAGGUGGGGUAACGGCUCACCUAGGCGACGAUCCCUAAAGGUCUGAGGAUGACCAGCCACACUGAACUGAGACGUCCGGUGACUCCUACGGAGGCAGCAGGGGAAUAUUAAAGAAUGGCGCGCGCCUGAUGCAGCCAUGCUGCGUGUGGUAAGAAGAAGGCCUUCGGGUUGUAAAGUACUUUCAGCGGGGAGGCGGGAUAAAGUUAAUACCUUUGCUCAUUGACGUUACCCCGCAGAAGAAGCACCGGCUAACCUCGUGCCAGCAGCCGCGGUAAUACGGAGGGUGCAAGCGUUAAUCGGAAUUACUGGGCGUGUGCUGCACGCAGGCGGUUUGUUAAGUCAGGAUGUGAAACUUUCGGGCUCAACUGAACCAUCUGAUAUCGGCGUAAGCUUGAGUCUCUGUAGAGGGGGUAGAAUUCCAGGUAGCGCAGAAACGCAGAGAUCUGGAGGAAUACCGGUGGCGAAGGCGGCCCCUGGACGAAGACUGACGCUCAGGUGCGAAAGCGUGGGGAGCAAAUAUCGAUACUUCCGUGAUCCACGCCAAACGAUGUCGACUUGGAGGUUGCGCCUGAUAUGUGGCUUCCGGAGCUAACGCGUUAAGUCGACCGCCUGGGGAGUACGGCCGCAAGGUUAAAACUCAAAUGAAUUGACGGGGGCCCGCAUGCGGACAUGUGGUUUAAUUGAUGUGCAACGCGAAGAACCUUACCUGGUCUUGACAUCCACGGAAGUUUUCAGAGAUGAGAAUGUGCCUUCGGGAACCGUGUGAGACAGGUGCUGCAUGGCUGUCGUCAGCUCGUGUUGUGAAAUGUUGGGUUAAGUCCCGCAACGAGCGCAACCCUUUAUCCUUUGUUGCCAGCGGUCCGGCCGGGAACUCAAAGGAGACCGCUGUGAUAAACGGAGAAGGUGGGGAUGACGUCAAGUCAUCAGCGGCCUUCGAUGACCAGCUACACACGUGCUACAAUGGCGCAUACAAAGAGAAGCAUCUCGCGAGAGCAAGUGACCUCUUCAUAAAGUGCGUCGUAGUCCGGAUUUGAGUCUGUAACUCGACUCCGCGGAAGUCGGAAUCGCUAGUAAUUCGAUCAGAAUGCCACGGUGAAUACGUUCCCGGGCCUUGUACACACCGCCCGUCACACCAUGGGAGUGUACAAAAAUAAGGAGGGCGCUUAACCUCGGGAGGCGCUUACCACUUUGUGAUUCAUGACUGGGGUGAAGUCGUAACAAGGUAACCGUAGGGGAACCUGCGGCUGGAUCACCUCCUUA
RNAcentral lists this ribosomal RNA (1502 nucleotides) under Escherichia coli. RNAcentral describes it as "bacterial SSU rRNA". It matches the Rfam family "Bacterial small subunit ribosomal RNA". The record is from RNAcentral. Lineage: Bacteria; Pseudomonadati; Pseudomonadota; Gammaproteobacteria; Enterobacterales; Enterobacteriaceae.